UUAAGCGACUAAGCGUACACGGUGGAUGCCCUGGCAGUCAGAGGCGAUGAAGGACGUGCUAAUCUGCGAUAAGCGUCGGUGAGGUGAUAUGAACCGUUAUAACCGGCGAUUUCCGAAUGGGGAAACCCAGUGUGUUUCGACACACUAUCAUUAACUGAAUCCAUAGGUUAAUGAGGCGAACCGGGGGAACUGAAACAUCUAAGUACCCCGAGGAAAAGAAAUCAACCGAGAUUCCCCCAGUAGCGGCGAGCGAACGGGGAGGAGCCCAGAGCCUGAAUCAGUGUGUGUGUUAGUGGAAGCGUCUGGAAAGGCGUGCGAUACAGGGUGACAGCCCCGUACACAAAAAUGCACAUAUUGUGAGCUCGAUGAGUAGGGCGGGACACGUGGUAUCCUGUCUGAAUAUGGGGGGACCAUCCUCCAAGGCUAAAUACUCCUGACUGACCGAUAGUGAACCAGUACCGUGAGGGAAAGGCGAAAAGAACCCCGGCGAGGGGAGUGAAAAAGAACCUGAAACCGUGUACGUACAAGCAGUGGGAGCCUCUUAAUGGGGUGACUGCGUACCUUUUGUAUAAUGGGUCAGCGACUUAUAUUCUGUAGCAAGGUUAACCGAAUAGGGGAGCCGAAGGGAAACCGAGUCUUAACUGGGCGUUAAGUUGCAGGGUAUAGACCCGAAACCCGGUGAUCUAGCCAUGGGCAGGUUGAAGGUUGGGUAACACUAACUGGAGGACCGAACCGACUAAUGUUGAAAAAUUAGCGGAUGACUUGUGGCUGGGGGGGAAAGGCCAAUCAAACCGGGAGAUAGCUGGUUCUCCCCGAAAGCUAUUUAGGUAGCGCCUCGUGAAUUCAUCUCCGGGGGUAGAGCACUGUUUCGGCAAGGGGGUCAUCCCGACUUACCAACCCGAUGCAAACUGCGAAUACCGGAGAAUGUUAUCACGGGAGACACACGGCGGGUGCUAACGUCCGUCGUGAAGAGGGAAACAACCCAGACCGCCAGCUAAGGUCCCAAAGUCAUGGUUAAGUGGGAAACGAUGUGGGAAGGCCCAGACAGCCAGGAUGUUGGCUUAGAAGCAGCCAUCAUUUAAAGAAAGCGUAAUAGCUCACUGGUCGAGUCGGCCUGCGCGGAAGAUGUAACGGGGCUAAACCAUGCACCGAAGCUGCGGCAGCGACACUAUGUGUUGUUGGGUAGGGGAGCGUUCUGUAAGCCUGUGAAGGUGGCCUGUGAGGGUUGCUGGAGGUAUCAGAAGUGCGAAUGCUGACAUAAGUAACGAUAAAGCGGGUGAAAAGCCCGCUCGCCGGAAGACCAAGGGUUCCUGUCCAACGUUAAUCGGGGCAGGGUGAGUCGACCCCUAAGGCGAGGCCGAAAGGCGUAGUCGAUGGGAAACAGGUUAAUAUUCCUGUACUUGGUGUUACUGCGAAGGGGGGACGGAGAAGGCUAUGUUGGCCGGGCGACGGUUGUCCCGGUUUAAGCGUGUAGGCUGGUUUUCCAGGCAAAUCCGGAAAACCAAGGCUGAGGCGUGAUGACGAGGCACUACGGUGCUGAAGUGACAAAUGCCCUGCUUCCAGGAAAAGCCUCUAAGCAUCAGGUAACAUCAAAUCGUACCCAAAACCGACACAGGUGGUCAGGUAGAGAAUACCAAGGCGCUUGAGAGAACUCGGGUGAAGGAACUAGGCAAAAUGGUGCCGUAACUUCGGGAGAAGGCACGCUGAUAUGUAGGUGAAGCGACUUGCUCGUGGAGCUGAAAUCAGUCGAAGAUACCAGCUGGCUGCAACUGUUUAUUAAAAACACAGCACUGUGCAAACACGAAAGUGGACGUAUACGGUGUGACGCCUGCCCGGUGCCGGAAGGUUAAUUGAUGGGGUUAGCGGCAACGCGAAGCUCUUGAUCGAAGCCCCGGUAAACGGCGGCCGUAACUAUAACGGUCCUAAGGUAGCGAAAUUCCUUGUCGGGUAAGUUCCGACCUGCACGAAUGGCGUAAUGAUGGCCAGGCUGUCUCCACCCGAGACUCAGUGAAAUUGAACUCGCUGUGAAGAUGCAGUGUACCCGCGGCAAGACGGAAAGACCCCGUGAACCUUUACUAUAGCUUGACACUGAACAUUGAGCCUUGAUGUGUAGGAUAGGUGGGAGGCUUUGAAGUGUGGACGCCAGUCUGCAUGGAGCCGACCUUGAAAUACCACCCUUUAAUGUUUGAUGUUCUAACGUUGGCCCGUAAUCCGGGUUGCGGACAGUGUCUGGUGGGUAGUUUGACUGGGGCGGUCUCCUCCUAAAGAGUAACGGAGGAGCACGAAGGUUGGCUAAUCCUGGUCGGACAUCAGGAGGUUAGUGCAAUGGCAUAAGCCAGCUUGACUGCGAGCGUGACGGCGCGAGCAGGUGCGAAAGCAGGUCAUAGUGAUCCGGUGGUUCUGAAUGGAAGGGCCAUCGCUCAACGGAUAAAAGGUACUCCGGGGAUAACAGGCUGAUACCGCCCAAGAGUUCAUAUCGACGGCGGUGUUUGGCACCUCGAUGUCGGCUCAUCACAUCCUGGGGCUGAAGUAGGUCCCAAGGGUAUGGCUGUUCGCCAUUUAAAGUGGUACGCGAGCUGGGUUUAGAACGUCGUGAGACAGUUCGGUCCCUAUCUGCCGUGGGCGCUGGAGAACUGAGGGGGGCUGCUCCUAGUACGAGAGGACCGGAGUGGACGCAUCACUGGUGUUCGGGUUGUCAUGCCAAUGGCACUGCCCGGUAGCUAAAUGCGGAAGAGAUAAGUGCUGAAAGCAUCUAAGCACGAAACUUGCCCCGAGAUGAGUUCUCCCUGACUCCUUGAGGGUCCUGAAGGAACGUUGAAGACGACGACGUUGAUAGGCCGGGUGUGUAAGCGCAGCGAUGCGUUGAGCUAACCGGUACUAAUGAACCGUGAGGCUUAACCUU
This 2902-nucleotide ribosomal RNA is filed under the name Escherichia coli UMEA 3220-1. RNAcentral's name for it is "bacterial LSU rRNA". It matches the Rfam family "Bacterial large subunit ribosomal RNA". Lineage: Bacteria; Pseudomonadati; Pseudomonadota; Gammaproteobacteria; Enterobacterales; Enterobacteriaceae. The record is from RNAcentral.